CUGGCGGCGUGGAUAAGACAUGCAAGUCGAACGAGAUCCUUAGCAAAGCUUGCUUUGCUAAGUCUAGUGGCGAACGGGUGAGUAACACGUGAGCAACCUGCCCAGAAGCAGGGGAUAAGCCACCGAAAGGUGGUCUAAUACCGUAUGUGAUACCAAGAGGCAUCUCUUGGAUAUUAAAGGGGGGGACCUUCGGGCCUCUCACUUCUGGAUGGGCUCGCGGCCUAUCAGCUAGUUGGUGAGGUAACGGCUCACCAAGGCAACGACGGGUAGCUGGUCUGAGAGGACGACCAGUCACACUGGAACUGAGACACGGUCCAGACACCUACGGGUGGCAGCAGUCGAGAAUCAUUCACAAUGGGCGAAAGCCUGAUGGUGCGACGCCGCGUGGAGGAUGACAGCCCUAGGGUUGUAAACUCCUGUCAUGAGAGAGUAAAGACUUAACGUUAAUACCGUUGGGUCCUGAUAGUAUCUCAAGAGGAAGGGACGGCUAACUUCGUGCCAGCAGCCGCGGUAAUACGAAGGUCCCAAGCGUUGUUCGGAAUUACUGGGCGUAAAGCGUGCGUAGGUGGCAUGGUAAGUCAGAUGUGAAAUCCCGGGGCUCAACCCCGGAACUGCAUCCGAUACUGCCAAGCUAGAGUAGUGGAGGGGAGUCUGGAAUUCACGGUGUAGCAGUGAAAUGCGUAGAUAUCGUGAGGAACACUAGUGGCGAAGGCGAGACUCUGGACACUAACUGACACUGAGGCACGAAGGCUAGGGUAGCGAAAGGGAUUAGAUACCCCUGUAGUCCUAGCAGUAAACGGUGCGCGUUUGGUGUGGGCGGGUUCGACCCCGUCCGUGCCGAAGCUAACGCGUUAAACGCGCCGCCUGGGGAGUACGGCC
Molecule: ribosomal RNA, 879 nt
Filed under: uncultured Verrucomicrobiaceae bacterium
Lineage: Bacteria; Pseudomonadati; Verrucomicrobiota; Verrucomicrobiia; Verrucomicrobiales; Verrucomicrobiaceae
Description: bacterial SSU rRNA
Rfam family: Bacterial small subunit ribosomal RNA
Source: RNAcentral